UGGGGAAUUUUUGGACAAUGGGCGAAAGCCUGAUCCAGCAAUGCCGCGUGUGUGAAGAAGGCCUUCGGGUUGUAAAGCACUUUUGUCCGGAAAGAAAUCCUUGGCUCUAAUACAGUCGGGGGAUGACGGUACCGGAAGAAUAAGCACCGGCUAACUACGUGCCAGCAGCCGCGGUAAUACGUAGGGUGCAAGCGUUAAUCGGAAUUACUGGGCGUAAAGCGUGCGCAGGCGGUUUGCUAAGACCGAUGUGAAAUCCCCGGGCUCAACCUGGGAACUGCAUUGGUGACUGGCAGGCUAGAGUAUGGCAGAGGGGGGUAGAAUUCCACGUGUAGCAGUGAAAUGCGUAGAGAUGUGGAGGAAUACCGAUGGCGAAGGCAGCCCCCUGGGCCAAUACUGACGCUCAUGCACGAAAGCGUGGGGGAGCAAAACAGGAUUCAGAUACCCUGGUAGUCCACGCCCUAAACGAUGUCAACUAGUUGUUGGGGAUUCAUUUCCUUAGUAACGUAGCUAACGCGUGAAGUUGACCGCCUGGGGAGUACGGUCGCAAGAUUAAAACUUAAAUGAAUUGACGGGGUCAUAGCUG
Molecule: ribosomal RNA, 583 nt
Filed under: uncultured bacterium
Lineage: Bacteria
Description: partial 16S ribosomal RNA
Rfam family: Bacterial small subunit ribosomal RNA
Source: RNAcentral